AGCAGCCGCGGUAAUUCCAGCUCCAAUAGCGUAUAUUAAAGUUGUUGCAGUUAAAAAGCUCGUAGUUGAACUUCGGGGUUUACCCAUUGGUCAGGCUUAAUUGUCUGUACUGGUGAGAUAAAUCUCUACCUUCUGAGGAACUUUCAUGUCAUUAAUUUGGUGUGAUUGGAAAUCAGGACUGUUACUUUGAAAAAUUAGAGUGUUUAAAGCAGGCUAACGUCUGAAUACAUUAGCAUGGAAUAAUGAAAUAGGACGGACUGAUUCUAUUUCGUUGGUUUCUAGGAUCACCGUAAUGAUUAAUAGGGAUAGUUGGGGGCAUUAGUAUUCAAUUGUCAGAGGUGAAAUUCCUGGAUUUAUUGAAGACUAACUACUGCGAAAGCAUUUGCCAAGGAUGUUUUCAUUAAUCAAGAGCGAAAGUUAGGGGAUCGAAGACGAUCAGAUACCGUCGUAGUCUUAACCAUAAACUAUGCCGACUAGGGAUCGGACGAAGUUAAUUUUAUAAUGACGCGUUCGGCACCUU
Molecule: ribosomal RNA, 520 nt
Filed under: uncultured Diversispora
Lineage: Eukaryota; Fungi; Glomeromycota; Glomeromycetes; Diversisporales; Diversisporaceae
Description: SSU rRNA
Rfam family: Eukaryotic small subunit ribosomal RNA
Source: RNAcentral